GCGUAUUAUUUUUAACAUGUUAAGUUACUUUUGCAAGAUAUAAAAUUCAUAAUAACUGCUACAAUCUCGCAUAUAAUAACAUUAAUCAUAUGAGUAAAUUUUCCUCCCCCCAUUUAUUAAACCUACGAAUAUUAAAUUGAUGUUAGAAAAAAUAAUAUUUUUUUUAAAUUUAUCUAUUUUUCUUUUUCAAUAAACAACCACAUACGUCUGAGAUUAAUAAAACAAUUUUUUUUCUUUUAUCUUGUUUCUUCUCUAUUUCUGUCCCUUUCUCCUUAUCUCUCUCUAUUAUUAGUUUCUUCAUCACCUGCGAUAAUAAUAUUAUUACUAAUGGUUUAAUUCAAUUUGAGGAAACAAAUUCAACAAUAACGACGGUGGGUUUGAACUUUAAUAAUAAAAAUAUAAUGAAAGAUUCUGGAAAAUGAAGAUAGAAGGGUUACGUGCUUUGUUUGUUUGGAAAGAGAAAUAAAGAACAUGGGAACUGGCAUUGUUUGUUUCAAGGAAUAAAUUACUAUUUGUUUUAUGAAAUGCACUGAACAGCUUAGAGCUAAAAGUUCUCUAAACCAUGCCUAUUGCCUAGUUUGUGGGCUUAAAUUUUGCAUUUUAUGAAUCACGUUUUCUUAAAGUAACUACUGAUCACUUCACCUAAAUUCUAUAAACAAAAAUGGAAAUGGGCUUCCGAAAAUGAUACCGAACAGGCCAAGAUCCCAUUAAGAAUAAGGUUUUCCAAUGUAAUUCAUAUUAGAGGCGUUAAUAUUAUUGGUUCGUAUUCGCUUCAAACGGGUAUAUACUAUAAGGAAGUUUAAUUUUUACUGUUUUAGAGGGUAGGUAUCAGGCUCAAAGUAGGAGUUUAUUAUUAUUUUUAAUUAAUGGGUAUCAAUUUAAAAAAAAAAUUCAUUACAUGGUUUGUAUUAGAACAACUGAACCCACCAUUUUUUGUUUGUUAAAACUAA
This 950-nucleotide long non-coding RNA is filed under the name Citrus x clementina. Its description in RNAcentral is "Citrus clementina (C. clementina) long non-coding RNA (CCLE_LNC002453)". The record is from RNAcentral. Lineage: Eukaryota; Viridiplantae; Streptophyta; Magnoliopsida; Sapindales; Rutaceae.